RNAcentral lists this small RNA (1261 nucleotides) under Pan troglodytes (chimpanzee). RNAcentral describes it as "processed transcript". The record is from RNAcentral. Lineage: Eukaryota; Metazoa; Chordata; Mammalia; Primates; Hominidae.
AGCGUGCUGUGUGGAUGCGGCGAAACGCUGAGGCGCGGCCUUCGCUGUCUGGUGGGGACUCACAAGACCGACGUCAAGAUGAUGCUUUCAAGGGCCAAACCUGCUGUAGGCAGAGGCGUACAGCACACUGACAAAAGAAAGAAGAAAGGUAGGAAGAUUCCAAAACUAGAGGAGCUACUUUCAAAAAGAGAUUUCACUGGAGCUAUUACCCUGUUGGAGUUCAAACGUCAUGUUGGGGAAGAAGAAGAGGAUACUAAUUUGUGGAUUGGAUAUUGUGCCUUUCACCUGGGUGACUACAAGAGAGCUCUGGAGGAAUACGAAAAUGCUACAAAAGAGGAAAAUUGUAAUUCUGAAGUCUGGGUGAACCUAGCUUGCACCUACUUCUUUCUUGGGAUGUAUAAACAAGCUGAAGCAGCUGGAUUUAAAGCUUCAAAAAGCCGACUGCAAAACCGCCUCCUCUUCCACUUGGCUCACAAGUUUAAUGAUGAGAAAAAAUUGAUGAGCUUUCAUCAAAAUCUUCAGGAUGUCACAGAAGAUCAACUCAGUUUGGCCUCAAUCCACUAUAUGCGAUCUCACUACCAAGAAGCUAUAGAUAUAUAUAAGCGAAUACUGCUAGAUAACAGGGAAUACCUUGCCCUUAAUGUUUAUGUGGCCCUCUGCUACUACAAGUUGGAUUACUAUGAUGUGUCUCAAGAAGUUUUGGCUGUUUACCUUCAGCAAAUUCCUGAUAGUACCAUCGCACUCAAUCUUAAAGCCUGUAACCAUUUUCGCCUUUACAAUGGCAGAGCAGCUGAGGCAGAACUCAAAAGCUUGAUGGACAAUGCUUCUUCAUCCUUUGAAUUUGCUAAAGAACUCAUCAGGCACAAUCUGGUUGUUUUCCGAGGAGGUGAAGGGGCUUUGCAGGUUUUACCUCCCCUAGUUGAUGUCAUUCCUGAAGCUAGGCUAAACUUGGUGAUUUACUACCUUCGUCAAGAUGAUGUACAAGAAGCUUAUAACUUAAUUAAGGACCUGGAACCUACUACUCCUCAGGAGUAUAUUCUCAAAGGAGUGGUCAAUGCAGCCCUUGGCCAGGAAAUGGGUUCCGUGAGUAUGAAAUCACUGAUAAUCUAUAGGUUGCAAAGUUAUAAGUGUAUGGAAGAGAACAAAAUGACUAUCAAAGUGCAAGCAGCAAUAGGCUCUCCUGUAGCUCCUUUUAUUUCUCCAUAUCCCCCAAUCCAGACUCCACUGAGAAAAGAAUGUUAUGUUAUUUAGAGACAAAAAA